GGGGGGGGCUCAAUCCCAGGACCCUGAGAUAAUGACCUAAGCCAAAUGUAGAUGCUUCACCCACCGAAUCCCCCAGGCGCCCUCAUCUCUGCUUUCCAGGAAUGUCAGCAGACAUAUGAGGAUCCAAGUUUGGUCUCAUCCAGACCCAGGCCUGCCUUUGUUCCAUGAACAUACAUGUAGACUGUCUAACAGUUGUGAACAUUCCAGGAGAUGGUGGGUUUUGCUGAUUUUUAGGUCUUGCUUUGUAUUAUUCCUUGUAUCUUUGGGCUCUCCCCCUCCUCCACUGGCAUUCAAACACACACACAGGCAUAAACUUCCCUUCCAGCAUAGUUCUUAUUAAUUUUGUCUACAUUUUACAUUUUCUCUGAACUCGAUGAUGUUGUUUUGUAUAAGAUUUUCCCUAAAUUCUGGGAAGAAAAAGCCCCCAUACAAUUAUUGCAAACUGGAAUAUUUCAAUUAAUAAGUGUUCUGUAAUCAGAAAGAUGCUAUAACAUCAAACCAAGUGAUACUUUGGCACUCUGUGUUUUCUUUUCAAGGCAUUUCUUUCUCACCUUCUGUGAGAAGAGGGAUCAAGAUCAAGAUCCCUUGCCCUAGACUUUGACCAGGCACAGGAUGUGCAGGGGCCACCAGGUGCGCCCCUGUGCUCUUCUCACCCAGAGGCCGCUUGUUUUGAUUGGCUUUUGUGCUCCCCUAAAAACUUCCCUGGGCAUUCUCAGAGUAACCCUUUCCACCCUUUUAGCUAUAAAUAGCAGCUCUUGCACCCCAGUGCCCUUAGCCGAAGCCAUGUUUUAAUCUUCUGGGAGUCACUUGGGAGACAAUCCCAAUCUGUGUUUCACUCUCUUUCUGAGACCAUCCUUGUACACAUAAAAAUGAACAUUUUUAGGCUGGCAGAGAUACUUACCAAAUGUGAGUCUCAUUAGUCUUUGUCAUGUUUUAAAGCCUGCUGCCACGGAAGGAACCCUGAUGACGGAAUGGAGGAACACACUACAAGCAUUGCUCUUAUACCUGUUAAUGUCAUUUCAUGCACAUGUGGCAGGAGGGGCACAGGUGACCUGCCUUGGCCUCACUCUAGUGGGGUGGGUCUCCUGGCAUCGGCACACAUCAUCAAAACACUUACCAAUAUCUAACAAUAAACAUUAAUAUGAAGGAGGUUUGUCGUCUUGGUGCUCAUCUCUGAAGUAUCAUGGCUGGGGGCAAGUAGGGAGGUAUUCUCCAGAAUGGCUGGAAUGAAGGAGGCCAUGGGAAGUGAGGCAGGAUGGGGAGAGGGAGCAGAAGAGGAGGCAGGUGCUUCAGGUGGUCUGAGCACCUGGAGAGUGGAAGGUCACCUAAGAAGAAAAGUAGAGAAGUAUUUGCACCAUCAUCCAGCCCUUGAGUGUGUCUUUGGUCACCAGUGGGUAGGAAUGAGUUCUGAGCACCUUGCCAGGAGUAGAGGAACAGUAAUAGUGGGGCAUGACUACCAUUUUCCUUGGCUGACACAAUUCUACAGACCCAUUUCAUUCAAAUUCUUUCUCUCUCCAGCCACACUCCUCAGAACCAAGGCAGAGAAACUGAUGUUAGUGGCAAGACCUAGGCAAGCCAGCAUCAAAACACACCUGCUAGCUAUCUUGAGACCCAAAUUGUCCAAAUUAGAUUGUCUAUAUGAAUUAAGUAAGAAUAAAAGUAAAUGAGGAAGAAGGUUAGCAUCAAGAUGGAGACAUAGGUUGUUCAUGACCUUAGUCUCCCUCACAAGAAAACCAACUAGCAACUAAACAUGGACAAGACAUUAUCACUAAAAAUCCCAGAACACGGGGUGGGAGGGUGGGUAGGGGAGGCUGAAACAGCCCCUGGAACACAGUGAAGAAGCCCCACUUGUCAGAGUGAGCACAGUCUGAGACCUCACCCAAUCAUGUUGGAAGCCCAAUAGGAAUGGUUCCAUUUUGAUCACAUCCUUCCUUCCCCUGGCCAACACAGCAGAGCUCCAAGGGGGCACCCUGGGCCCACCAUUUUCCCAGUGGGUAAAAGAGAACCAAGAGCGGACAUCCAGCUCUCCAAUGUUCUGGGAUGCUUCUGGGGAAGCCCACUGGGUACGGCCUCAUGGAGAUCACCAGGGGAACCCAUGGGGCUGCACCAGUGGGGAUCAGAGAGAGAUGGACAAGGAGGCAGGGGUUACAGCAACCAGUGCUUAGAUUUUGGAGGACCACAUACCUGCUGGCACCAGUAUCCCGACCAGAUACCAGGCAGCAGCUCUGCCCAUCUGCAGAGCUAAGCUGGUGGCCCCUUCUGGCCAGGGACCCUGACUGACUUGGAGUUCUGUCUGAUUUUGAUCCCCACUCAACUGGGCUGAACCCGAUGUGGAGCACAUCCUACAUCCUGCCUGGGCAGGAAAGCAAAUUCACCAACGCACCCAACUGCUCGGCAUAGCCUCCAGUCUUACCCUCUGGAAAACAUGGCCACAGUUGCCUGGCAGCCUUGAAAGACAUUCUAUGGCCCUUAUCUCUCAAAAGCAUGCACUUCCUCUCAAAUAAAUAAAAUCUUAAAGAAAAAAAAGAAGAAAUGGAGAUCUAUGAACUGUCUGACAAAUAAUGAAGAAUAAUUCUCUUACAGAAGGUCAGCCGGCAGACUGCAAGAACAUGCAGACACCCAAGCAAACUUAGGAAAACAAUGCAUGCACAAAACGAGAAACUCAGCAAAGAACUAGAAACCAUUAAAAAGACACACACAAGCAGCAAUCCUAGAAUUGAAGAACGCAGUGACCGCAAUGAAGAAUUUAAUAGUGAGGCUGAGCUGGAGGCUGGUUAGAAAGGGCCUUCUCUGGGUCACCUCUGUGCUCCUCAGGGUUCUUGGCAAGAGGCGUGGUGUUUGCUUGGCCAGGUCCUCACCUGCGAUUCCAGGGCCACGCUCUGCGGCCGAGCCUUCCCAGCUCCCACCCUGGGCCUGCUGCCUCCUCUCUCAUUCCUGAAGGCAGUGGGGGAGGGGAGCGCGCAGGUGCUCGAGGAGCGCGCCUUCGCUGCAGAUGCGCUGGGAUCCACCUUUACUCAUCGUGGGUGACAGCCGUCAGGGUUUGGUUCAGCCUCACACCAUCAGCUCAGAAGAUGAGUCCAGAGCAGGUCAUCUGUUUCUCGAAUAAAUUCUUGGUCCGUGGAUGCCAUUUGGAUUUUCCACAGGAUUCUUCUCUGCAUUCCGAGUGGGCGCAGGAAAAUCCUUUCUGUUCACUCCUCAGCGUUAUCUUCCUCCUGGGAGGCUGGGCACCUGCAUAAAGAAGAUGGCGAAAACCGACGAGGCGCUGGGACCCCAGCAGAGGUUUGCAAAACAGCGGGCCCUGCUCGCUGGGCGGGGCCCGACCGCGCC
RNAcentral lists this long non-coding RNA (3327 nucleotides) under Canis lupus familiaris (dog). RNAcentral describes it as "lncRNA (ENSCAFG00000052778.1)". The record is from RNAcentral. Lineage: Eukaryota; Metazoa; Chordata; Mammalia; Carnivora; Canidae.